AAUCUCACCAAUUAAAAUGAAGCUUGUUUGAACAAAUCAAUUAGUCAACUCUAUUGCUCUUUCUUGGUUCAUUAUUCAACUUCUCUCGUUUGUCUGCAACUGGCUUUUAUACGUUUGGCGUUGUAGUGCUAACUCAAAGUAUGGCAGAGGCAUUUCUUAAAGUCGUUCUUGAUAAUCUGGGCUCGCUUAUCAAGGAGGAGAUUGGACUGAUAUUGGGCGUUGAUGAAGAGAUGCAGAAGCUUUCAAGCACCCUCACCACCCUUCAAGCUGUGUUGGAAGAUGCUGAAGACAAGCAAAUUGAGAGCAAGCCUAUUCGAGAUUGGUUGCAGAAACUCAACGUCCUUGCUUAUGAGAUUGAUGAUAUCUUGGAUGAGUGCAACACUCAUGUCUCCAAACUCAAACACACUCGCAACAAACUCAGUCGCUACAGCCUCCAGAAGAUUUUGUAUCGUCACAAGAUCGGGAGGAGGAUGAAACAAGUCACAAAGCAACUGGAUGGUGUUGCUACAGAGCGCACUAAAUUUCAUCUGCGUGAGAUGCCUGUUGAUAGGCUAAGAGAAGUUGCUGCCUCACGUGAGACGGGUUCCUUGUUGAACUAUACAGAUCAGAUUUAUGGCAGAGAAGAAGACGAAAACAAGAUUGUGGAGAUGUUGGUAAUUGAUGUAAAGGAGAAUAAGGAAAUGUCUGUGUUGCCAAUCAUUGGCAUUGGUGGUCUUGGCAAGACUACUCUUGCUCAAUUAGUCUUUAACGAUCCGCGGGUGGUAGACCACUUUGAUAUAAGAAUUUGGGUUUGUGUCUCUGACAAUUUUGAGUUGAAGACUUUGGUGAAGGCAAUGAUAGAAGCUGCCACAGGGAGCGCGAAAGCUGCAGAUCUGCAACAAUUGGAUGUUGUAGAACGUCAGCUUUGGGAGUUGUUGAGCCAAAAAAGAUAUUUGAUUGUACUAGAUGAUGUUUGGAACGACCAACAAGAGAAAUGGUUUGAGUUGAAAGAUACUCUAUCAUGUGGCUCAACCGGUGCAUCCAUCAUUGUCACCACACGCCAAAAGAAGGUUGCAGAUAUAAUGGGAACUCUUCCAGCUCACUGUCUAAACGGGCUGUCAGAUGAGAAUUGUUGGAUGUUGCUCAGGUCACGUGCCUUCGGACCUAAAGAAGAGGUGUCUCCGCAGCUGGAAAUGAUUGGGAAUGAGAUUGUGAAGAAAUGCGUUGGCGUGCCCCUCGCUGCUAAGGCGCUAGGAGGAAUUUUGCGGUUUAAAAGGACACAAGAGGAAUGGAUAUAUGUGAGAGAGAGUGAAUUGUGGAAGCUCUCUCCAGAAGAGAGUUUGAUAAUGCCAGCUCUGAGAUUGAGUUAUCAUCAUCUUGCUUUGGAGCUCAGACAAUGCUUUGCUUAUUUUGCUGCCUUUCCCAAGGACCAUGAAAUUGAAAAAGAAGAAUUGAUUCGUCUAUGGAUAGCUCAUAGCUAUAUUUCAUCAAAGGGAGAUAUACAAGUUGAAGAUGUUGGGAAUCAAAUAUGUAAUGAGUUAUUACUCAGAUCUCUUCUACAAUCAACUUUUAGGGAUAACAAGAUCAUUAUGCAUGAUCUUGUUCAUGAUCUAGCGCAAUCAAUAAUGGAGAACAAAGUUCCCGGGAUACAAAGUGAGAGAAAUAUUCUAAGUGCAUCUACUAUUCGUGAGGUAAAUUUGAUAGACAGAACUAUCUUGUUUCCUAAAACUUUUCAGCAAAAUAUGAACAUUUCAUCCAUCUUGGAGCUCACAAGUUUAAGAGUAUUAUAUGCAAACUACAAGGGAAUAAAAGAUUUGUCUACUUCAAUCGGCAAUCUUAUACAUCUGCGAUACUUGAAUUUGUCUACAUCUACAAUUCGCACUCUCCCGAACUCAUUAUGUACUCUUUGGAAUUUGCAAAUCCUCAACUUGAAUUUCUGUCGUAGUCUUGUGGCCUUACCUAAGAAGUUGACAUCCUUACAUAAUCUCCAACAUCUAUGUUUAUCCAGGUGUGAGUCGUUGUCUGAGAUGCCCUCUAAAAUAAGAGAGUUAACUAGCCUCAAAACAAUGAGUAUGUUUGUAGUAGGUAUCAAGGUUGGUAACCAACUUGAGGAACUGCGGUGCUUGAACCUCAGCGGAGAGCUUGAGAUUCGACAUUUGGAGAGAGUAAAAGAUCCCUUGGAUGCAAAGAAAGCAAAUAUGUCUGCCAAAAAGAAUCUCAAGGAGUUGAGCUUUUUGUGGGAAAGAGAUGAUUUAUCCAAGUUAGAGGAAGACACUGAUGAAAAUGUAUUGGAAGCACUUCAACCUCACCCAAAUCUUGAAUCUCUUCGCAUAAAGGGUUUCAGAGGUAGAUAUCUUCCACGUUGGAUGAAAAGUUCAACUCUGGAAAAUAUAGUUAGGAUCUAUAUAACAGACUGCCCAAAUUGUAGGUGUCUUCCAAAACUAGAAGAGCUAACUCAUCUUGAAAUGUUGCGUUUAGAGAAUAUGGAGGUGGAGUACGUUAUUGAAGAAGUUGGAAAUGGAAACCCGGUAAAAGUUCAGUUCCCUGCUUUGGAAGAGUUGAGUUUAUCAAAUAUCCCAAAUCUGAAGGGGCUUUCUAAGGAGCAACUGAGUAACGAAGCAUUCCCAAAACUUAAACGGCUAUAUAAUACACAUUGCUCUUCAUUAAGACUGGAACAACUCUCAUUCCUCCAAAAGUUGGAGUAUCUAAAUUGCAGUAGCUCAACUCUGGCUUUAUUAUCUGAGCAGGACAUUCCUAGGGAUCUAUGUGUGGAAAUUGAGGAAAGCCUGACAUGUUUUUCAAUGGAAACGCUGGUAAAGUACCCUAAGCUCCGGUAUUUAAUAAUUAGAGGUGCAAAAGAGAUCUCCGUGACAAGAGGAGGUUUGGAAGCCUUAAAAGAGCUUACACACUUACGCUUUUUAUGUUGUGAUACAAUGACACGCAUUCCACAAGGGAUGUUCCAGCAUCUAUCUUCUCUGCAGAACCUCGAUAUAUGUUCCUGCAAAGAAAUAGUAGAGUUGCCAGAAGAGAUUAAAAAUCUUCACAAUCUUCAAAAUAUAUACUUAAUCAGACUUCCCAAGAUGGCGCGCUUAAGGAAAGCUUUACAUCACCUCUCCACACUCAAAUUUCUAUUCCUAUAUGAACUUCCUGAGCUGAAAUCACUCCCUGACCAGCUACCAUCUCUUCAUAUCCUCGAAGUUUUCAGAUGCCCAAAGGUUGUAUCAGUUCCAGCUCUACCAAAUGCCAAAGGACUAAGAAUAGAAGAAUGCCCACAACUAGAAAGACGAUGCCAUAGAGGAACAGGAGAGGAUUGGCACAAGAUUUCCCACAUUCGCCGUUUGCGAAUUUGUUAUAGCUAACUCCACUCCACUCCACUCCACAGGUAUGUAUCAUUGCUUCGACCAAACACACUAGCAUUUCCAUCAACUUUAAGUCACAUUUUCUUCUACUGAAUAUAUGUAGAGAUCAUAACUGAUUUAUCUUCCCAAUCUGCAUUUCUGUUUUUCACACCGGCAUUGAAAGUCUUUAACAUAAACAUAAAUGUCUUUGAAAUGAGUCUUGUUCUAUUCUCCUUCAACACAAUGUCACGUUUUUUUUAUUCUUCACUAGUUCUGCCAAGUUGGCCAUACUUGUUCCAUUUUGUUUUCGUUUUCUUAUUGAAUAGCCAUAUUUGUUUGUUGCUGCCUGAUGGGAUAGUGUUCUUUCAUGCAUUUGAAUUUGGAUUAAUUUUGUUAACAAAUUGUGAAAAAGAACAAUUUGAGAAAGUCAACUAAAUUGCAUUAGUAUCAUGUAAUGAACUUUACAUAUUCAGAUUAUGGUAUUUAACCACAUCUGAUGCAGUUCAAACGUAGAAAUCGGGCUAAAACCUUCGGUGUCAGAAUGACUUGAAAUUUGCACGGUGCAUGCGAAUCGGAUGGACGAUGGAUUUUGGCCAUCUGAUAUGGGCUCACUCGACUUAUUUAACGAUCGAAGUGGAGUUAUUAAGCAACUUCAGAAGCUGACAAUCUGCAACAUCCCUUCUGGGAUACAUGUCACUUUGUAACAAUAAUAUAGACAUAAACUUGAAAGGUCCUUUUAAUGCUUCUAGACCUUCUCUGCUUGUCACAUAGAUUUUUCUUAAAUUGUUUCAAACAUUCAGUAAUUCUGUUACACUCUUGGAUUAGCUAA
Molecule: RNA transcript, 4146 nt
Organism: Salvia splendens (bonfire salvia)
Lineage: Eukaryota; Viridiplantae; Streptophyta; Magnoliopsida; Lamiales; Lamiaceae
Gene name: putative disease resistance protein RGA3
Exons: 3
Source: RefSeq, a predicted model, not a curated record